AAAAACACCUGGCAGGGGAAACGCCAUGAUCAGUAAGGUGAUUUUUCCAGGGCGAGACUCAUCCGUUGCACUUGGGCUGUGCUGACCCCUGCAAUUUCCCCAAAUGCGGGAAACAACUGAAUAAUUUGUGGUAGUCAGGGACUAUGUUUGUGCUCUCCCCUGA
Nannospalax galili (Upper Galilee mountains blind mole rat) is the source of this 163-nucleotide small nuclear RNA. Its record names the gene U1. It matches the Rfam family "U1 spliceosomal RNA". From Rfam's summary of the family: U1 is a small nuclear RNA (snRNA) component of the spliceosome (involved in pre-mRNA splicing). Its 5' end forms complementary base pairs with the 5' splice junction, thus defining the 5' donor site of an intron. Lineage: Eukaryota; Metazoa; Chordata; Mammalia; Rodentia; Spalacidae. The record is from Ensembl.